AUCUCAGUUCGGAUUGGAGGCUGAAACCCGCCUCCAUGAAGUUGGAUUCGCUAGUAAUCGCGCAUCAGCCAUGGCGCGGUGAAUACGUUCCCGGGCCUUGUACACACCGCCCGUCAAGCCAUGGGAGCCGGGGGUGCCUGAAGUUCGUUACCGUAAGGAUCGACCUAGGGCAAAACUGGUGACUGGGGCUAAGUCGUAACAAGGUAAC
This 208-nucleotide ribosomal RNA is filed under the name uncultured bacterium. RNAcentral's name for it is "partial 16S ribosomal RNA". It matches the Rfam family "Bacterial small subunit ribosomal RNA", at positions 1285 to 1500 of the family's 1533-position model. The record is from RNAcentral.